UAUCUAAGAAAGGAAACAUAAAUCACUACAAUCAAGGCACAAUAUCUCAACAAAACCAACCACCAAUUUCAACUAGAUAGGAUUGACAAUAUAACAUACUGUUCAAAUGAUACCAAUAUGCUCGGUCAAGCACCAAUUUUAUAGAAUGGCUCUUACCAAUUUCAGCUAGAUAGGAUUGACAAUAUAACAUAUUGUUCAAAUGAUACCAAUAUGCUCGGUCAAGCACCAAUUUUAUAGAAUGGCUCUUUAUUGAGUUAUGCUCGACUAGAUCAAUUCUUUUUAGUUCUGCGGCCGCUAACGGUUUUCUCCAAUCAUACACAAUUUAAAAGACACCAGACAAUUUUCAAAAGGCACAACAACUUUAUAAGAUCCUGAAAAACCUUCAUAAACAUGGAUUGUGAAAACACAACAAUUUAUAGAUGCCGCGUAUAAUACGAGAUCUUUCCUUAAUGUUUCUAUACAAGUUUCUAUAUUAUUUCUUUCAUUUCAAAUUCAGUAAUUCCCUUUAUAUACUCUCUUUCCGAAGGGGCCCAGGACGUAAUUGAUUGGGUGGUUAAGAAUUAAAAUAAAGGCUUAACUGAAAUAAUAGAAGAGGGUAGAAAUGAUUCAUGUAGAAAGUUAUUAUUAUUAGGGAUCCAAGCAGUAGUUUAGUUAUAAAAAGAAAAUUCUUUUAUUGAAGAUACCACUAGAUGGAGAAUUUUCUCCUUUUAAUGUCUGUCAUUCAAUCAACUAUCAUGGAACAGUUCUCUUUCUCUUGGAAUUAGAUCACUUUCCAUUCUCAAGUCAAUACGCCACACACAUAAUUUAGAUCAUUAAAUUUUUUAAGAAAAAGCCAUGUGAUCCACCCACAUAAAUACAGUACUUAUUGCUGAAGAACACACAUAAGCACAUCUGUUUGUGAGAGACAUUGAUAUGUUACAUUAGUUUAAUAACAGACAAAUAUCAACACAUUUUGCACAUAAAAUUGAGAUAGCAAAACAAAGGAAUGAAAAUAAUGUGCAAACUUGAUCAACUUACAGU
RNAcentral lists this long non-coding RNA (1020 nucleotides) under Medicago truncatula (barrel medic). RNAcentral describes it as "long non-coding RNA (MTRU_LNC002171)". The record is from RNAcentral. Lineage: Eukaryota; Viridiplantae; Streptophyta; Magnoliopsida; Fabales; Fabaceae.